UUCAUCAACAUCUCAGCCGACUCCCCUCCUCCCAACGAUUUACGUAGCCGGGCAGCCGGCCUCCCUUCUCCUCAACAGCCGUGGAUUAACGCCUGCUCCUCGCCUUUCACAUCACAGCAAUCAAAACUAGAAACUGCUCAUAAAUCCCAAUAAUCACCAAUAGAAACUGCUCCACCGAAAUUAUACGCCGCCGCCAAAUCGACCUUAAAAAGAAGUCCAUGUUGCCAUACGCUUCACCCGCCAGGCUACUCGUGCCCCUGCUCGCGCAGCCAGCACCGUCGGCGGCCACCACGCUGGUUGACCUCCACCUGGAAAUCCCAUUCACGGUUUCCCCCAAAUCUGAUAUUAUUGGUGCCUCCAAUCUGAUACUUGAAGCCCCCUCGAUUUUUUUUUUUUUUGGAUAUUUUGGCAUCUCGCUCUGAUUGCUGAAGCUAGAAGACGCUGGCCAUCAUAUCCUCUACUGUGUGACUCUGCACUAUACAUGUUUCCGUUGGUUAACCUCAGGCUCGCAGAUCCGCCUCAUGUUUUACUCGGAUCGAUUCUGCCUGCUGGUACCACUUUGCCGCCUGGUUUAUUUCAAAGUUUCGCCUUCCCUGAUUGCUCUCUUAGGAUUCAUGGGAGUGGAAAAGGUGAAGAUCUCCCAGCUCAAGAACUUGAAUUUUAUAAUGUCAAACGACCUAAGCAAGACGUAUCAGACAUCAACGUUGCGGCAAACAUCUAAGGAAGGCAGCAGGACAAAAAAUAAAAUAACAUAGGUAUUUCCAUUUCUUAUAGUGCUCUUUCUCUGAUCACAUGCAGUGCAUCAUCAAGGACGCAUGGAACAAUUCAAGAUUGCAAUGACUUCUACCUAAAUUACUUAUGUAGUUGCUUACAUGAAAAGUUGAUGAUCAACGCAUUUAGUCGCUUCUAUUGUAAUCCAUAAUAACGCAGUGUAAUCCAUUAUGUGUCUUUAUGGCAAUAGUUUUCUUUUCGGCAUUUUCAGUUUGCUUUAGUACCACGCCAAAUCCUUCAUGUAUUGUUCACGUCACAAACUUUUAUAUCAAUAUUGGUGACAUCAUAUGCAAGUGCAGAAUA
Long non-coding RNA from Lolium perenne, 1074 nucleotides. RefSeq lists it as uncharacterized. Lineage: Eukaryota; Viridiplantae; Streptophyta; Magnoliopsida; Poales; Poaceae. The record is from RefSeq and is a predicted model, not a curated record.